RNAcentral lists this ribosomal RNA (459 nucleotides) under uncultured bacterium. RNAcentral's name for it is "partial 16S ribosomal RNA". It matches the Rfam family "Bacterial small subunit ribosomal RNA", at positions 338 to 795 of the family's 1533-position model. The record is from RNAcentral.
CCUACGGGAGGCAGCAGUGAGGAAUAUUGGUCAAUGGGCGGGAGCCUGAACCAGCCAAGCCGCGUGAGGGAAGAAGGUACAGCGUAUCGUAAACCUCUUUUGUCAGGGAACAAAGGCGGGGACUAGUCCCCGGAUGAGGGUACCUGAAGAAAAAGCAUCGGCUAACUCCGUGCCAGCAGCCGCGGUAAUACGGGGGAUGCGAGCGUUAUCCGGAUUUAUUUGGUUUAAAGGGGGCUCAGGCGGCCUGUUACGUCAGCGGGAAAAGCCCGGGGCUCCACCCCGGCGAGCCGUUGAAACUGGCGGGCUGGAGUGGGAGAGAAGUACGCGGAAUGCGCGGUGUAGCGGUGAAAUGCUUAGAUAUCGCGCAGAACCCCGAUGGCGAAGGCAGCGUACCGGCUCCACACUGACGCUGAGGCACGAAAGCGUGGGUAUCGAACAGGAUUAGAUACCCGGGUAGUC